CCUACGGGUGGCAGCAGUGAGGAAUAUUGGUCAAUGGCCGUAAGUCUGAACCAGCCAAGUAGCGUGAGGGAAGACGGCCCUAUGGGUUGUAAACCUCUUUUCUACGGAGAUAAAGGUGUCCACGUGUGGAUGUUUGCAGGUACCGCAUGAAUAAGGACCGGCUAAUUCCGUGCCAGCAGCCGCGGUAAUACGGAAGGUCCGGGCGUUCUCCGGAUUUAUUGGGUUUAAAGGGAGCGUCGGCCGGUCUUUAAGCGUGCCGUGAAAUUUUGUGGCGCAACCAUGGGAGUGCGGCGCGAACUGGAGAACUUGAGGGCGCGGAAGGCAGGCGGAAUUCGUGGUGUAGCGGUGAAAUGCUUAGAGAUCACGAAGAACCCAGAUUGCGAAGGCAGCCUGCCGCAGCGUUACUGACGCUGAAGCUCGAAAGCGCGGGUAUCGAACAGGAUUAGAUACCCGAGUAGUC
Molecule: ribosomal RNA, 460 nt
Filed under: uncultured bacterium
Lineage: Bacteria
Description: partial 16S ribosomal RNA
Rfam family: Bacterial small subunit ribosomal RNA
Source: RNAcentral